UGAACGCUGGCGGCGUGCCUAAUACAUGCAAGUCGAGCGAACGGACGAGAAGCUUGCUUCUCUGAUGUUAGCGGCGGACGGGUGAGUAACACGUGGAUAACCUACCUAUAAGACUGGGAUAACUUCGGGAAACCGGAGCUAAUACCGGAUAAUAUUUUGAACCGCAUGGUUCAAAAGUGAAAGACGGUCUUGCUGUCACUUAUAGAUGGAUCCGCGCUGCAUUAGCUAGUUGGUAAGGUAACGGCUUACCAAGGCAACGAUGCAUAGCCGACCUGAGAGGGUGAUCGGCCACACUGAAACUGAGACACGUCCAGACUCCUACGGGAGGCAGCAGUAGGGAAUCUUCCGCAAUGGGCGAAAGCCUGACGGAGCAACGCCGCGUGAGUGAUGAAGGUCUUCGGAUCGUAAAACUCUGUUAUUAGGGAAGAACAUAUGUGUAAGUAACUGUGCACAUCUUGACGGUACCUAAUCAGAAAGCCACGGCUAACUACGUG
This 494-nucleotide ribosomal RNA is filed under the name uncultured bacterium. Its description in RNAcentral is "partial 16S ribosomal RNA". It matches the Rfam family "Bacterial small subunit ribosomal RNA", at positions 30 to 507 of the family's 1533-position model. The record is from RNAcentral.